GCCCCCAUAGCUCAAUGGAUAGAGCAUCUGCCUUCUAAGCAGGGGAUAUAGGUUCGAUUCCUAUUGGGGGUA
RNAcentral lists this transfer RNA (72 nucleotides) under Elusimicrobiota bacterium. Its description in RNAcentral is "Elusimicrobia bacterium tRNA-Arg". It matches the Rfam family "tRNA". From Rfam's summary of the family: Transfer RNA (tRNA) molecules are approximately 80 nucleotides in length. Their secondary structure includes four short double-helical elements and three loops (D, anti-codon, and T loops). Lineage: Bacteria; Pseudomonadati; Elusimicrobiota. The record is from RNAcentral. RNAcentral also lists the same sequence under 6 other names.